GGUUCUGAAGUUUUGGUUCAGUUUUGCACCGAACCGAACCGACUAAUAUUAAUAUUUUAUUAAAUAUUUAUAUUUUAUAAUAUAUUUAAUUUUAGUUUUAACCUAAACUAAGAAAGAAAGUAAGAAACCCUAAGUCUAUCUCCCAUUCUACACUCUGCGCCGCUCCUCCCAGCCUCUCAUUCUACACUCUGCGCUGCUCCUCCCAGCCUCCCAGAUCUGCCCUCUGUCUCCGGCAGUCCGGCGAUCGUCGGCGCGUGUGCAGGCGCGAGGCCCGCUGCUGUCCUCGUCCCCUGCCCAGGCGAGUCCGACAGCCCCCUUCCCAAGCGCGACUGCCCGCUGCCGUCCGCCACUCCUCCGCGUCGCCAACAACCAGACUCCCCUUCCUGCGCGGCCUACCCUCACCUGAUCUUAAUAAGGAAGAGACAUACCAGAGGAGGGAGAAAAAACAAAGGGGCGGUGAAUUCAGUUGGCCAAUGACCGUCGUGGGCCUGGACUGUGGAAAUGUAGCCAAUGACGCGACGGAGCUUGGUGAUGGUUGCUUCAGCCUUCUGCUCCUUCUUUCAAUAUUACGGCACCAGUUGGAAGCAGAGAAGAGUGAUUCUCCUUAUUGUUUAAUAAAGAAAAAAAAUCUCAAAUAGUAUCACUUUGAAUUGACAGAAAUCAGCAUCCUUAUUCAAUAAUUGCAUAAAUUUCUUAUACUUUUCUUACAUAAUUGUAUUUGUGUAAGAAAAGUGUAAGACUUUACACAAAAAUAAUGUAAAUCUAUCAACAUUCAAGAUCAAUUUAGACAUUUCACUUUAAUU
This is a long non-coding RNA of Salvia miltiorrhiza (redroot sage), 803 nucleotides long. RefSeq lists it as uncharacterized. The transcript is spliced from 2 exons. The record is from RefSeq and is a predicted model, not a curated record. NCBI's taxonomy places the organism in Eukaryota, Viridiplantae, Streptophyta, Magnoliopsida, Lamiales, Lamiaceae.